RNAcentral lists this long non-coding RNA (2172 nucleotides) under Equus caballus (horse). RNAcentral's name for it is "lncRNA (ENSECAG00000052763.1)". Lineage: Eukaryota; Metazoa; Chordata; Mammalia; Perissodactyla; Equidae. The record is from RNAcentral.
CUUCACACUAUAUUUCAGCUUGCCUAUUGCAAGGCAGGGGACCAGAGUCUGCUUCUGCUUUAAGCCAUGCUGGAUAGGUUAGGGGGUAAUGAAGAGGCUGGAAGAGGGACAAAGAGACAUGCUCCCCAGGAUAGCAAGGUUUGGGACAGAAUCCCUGUUGGUAGCACUUAGUCCCUGGACAGGGGAUUUGGAUUCUGGGCUUGGUAAAUAUUGGCUGAGUUUAGGUUCUUACUGAGGACCUACUAAACUGCACGAUGCUAUGCUGGGGGCUGUGAUGGAUAUGAAAUGGAAUACUUUUUCUUGGUAAGUUUAUGGUUUCAUUAGGGAGAUUAAAUAUAGGUGUGUGAAACAUCUAGAAACAAGACAAAGAAUGUUCUCAAAUGCCAAAAGUUGAGGAGAUAUAAAUGACUAUAAAGGAAGGGCUGCAAACCAGGUGAGAACAGAGAUGGUACCUUCUUCAGGAUGGGUAUCUUCCAGAAUCUUGCACACAGUUGGUGCUCAAAAAUAUUUUUUCGGUUGAAUUGAGGAGUUUACACUUAAGAUGCAUUUGGAUGGAUCUGAAUGGACUAGGAGCAGGAAGAGCAUUCAGACUUUCUUUCUAACAUUAGUUGGUGAGGGGGCUGACUCUUCACCUUUUAAAAUGUGAAUUGAGGGAGCCAGCCCAGUGGCGUAGUAGUUGGGUUCACGCACUCUGCUUCAGAGGCCCAGGGUUCACCAGUUUGAAUCCGGGGCGCAGACCUACAUACUGUUCAUCAACCAUGUUGAGGAGGCGUCCUACAUACAAAAUAGAGGAAGAUUGGCAUGGGCAUUAGCUCAGCGACAAUCUUCCUCAAGGAAAAAGGGAAGGAUUGGCAACAGAUGUUAGCUCGGGGCCAAUCUUCCUCACUGAAAACAAAAAUGUGAAUUGAUAAUCAUAGUAUCUGUUGACUGUUCAAUUCAAAAGUGUGGCUUAAUUCUAGCUUACAGACUGGUGAAAAGGAGGACACAUAAGGGACCUUGGGGUAAAAUAUUAAUCAGGAGGCUCAUAAUCAAUCCCACACACCCUUGACCUUAGUUGAAACAAAAGUGCUGAUUUUUUGGAAUUCAGAAAGAGUGGAAUGAGAUUAGACGGAAUGACUUCUACUUAGGUGUUUUUUUUUUUUUUUUAAUUUCUAGAAUUCCUCCAUCCAGGAAUAGCCAAGUGAAUAGUACAAACCAUUGUCAUGUAAAAGCCUUGCAAAGUCAUCUGCUUUUAGUAAAGUCCUUCAAUCAGUACCACUUAAAGGACAGUCCAAAACGGAUACCAAUCCACAAACAUUUGUCUCUGGUCCUGAUGAGAAAGCUGCCAUGUUGUAAGCAGCCCUCUGUAGAAGCUCAGGUGGCAGGCCGAUGACAGGGUUUUGCCAGUUCGGAUCCUGGACGCGGACAUGGCACCACUCAUCAAGCCAUGCUGAGGUGGCGUCUCAAACAGCAGAAGUAAUAAAAGGGCCUGCAACUAGAAUAUACAACUAUGUACUGGGGGCUUUGGGGAGAAGAAAAAAAAAGAUUGGCAACAGAUGUUAACUCAGGGCCAAUCUUUAAAAGAAACAAAAAAACCCAUCAUGACUACAGAAGAACAAUGAAGACACUGAAAUUGUUAAAGAUUUUGUUUACUUUGCUUCAGUCAUCAAUUUAAUGGAGACUGCAACCAAGAAAUCAGGACUGUGAUUUGGAAGGACAAUAAUAAAAGCAUUAGGAAAGAUCAUCAAGUGUAAGGAAGCAUCAUUAGAGACCAAGGCCAAGAUUAUCCAUACCCUCAUGUUCCCAAUUACUAUGUACAAGGCGAAAGCUGGACAGUGAAGAAGGCUGACAGGAAAAAGUUGAUUCGUUUCAAAUACGAUGUUGGAGGAGCGCUCUCUGGAUACCCUGGACUGCCAGAAAGGCAGACAAGUGGGUCCUAGAGCAAAUUAAGCCUAAACUAUUGCUAGAGGCAAAAAUGAUAAAACUGAGGCUGUCCCACUUUGGACACUUCAUGAGAAGCAGGAUUCUUUGGAAAAGACAACAAUGCUAGGAGAAAUAGAAGGCAGCAGGAAAAGAGGAAGGUCAAAGGUGAGAGGCAUUGACUCCAUAAAGGAAGCCAUAGGUAUGAGUCUAUAGAACCUGAGCAGGGCCGUUGAGGACAGGAGGUUGUGGACAUCACUCAUUCAUAGGGUC